ACCGCAUACGAUCUACGGAUGAAAGUGGGGGAUCGCAAGACCUCAUGCUCGUGGAGCGGCCGAUAUCUGAUUAGCUAGUUGGUGGGGUAAGAGCCCACCAAGGCGACGAUCAGUAGCUGGUCUGAGAGGACGACCAGCCACACUGGGACUGAGACACGGCCCAGACUCCUACGGGAGGCAGCAGUGGGGAAUUUUGGACAAUGGGGGCAACCCUGAUCCAGCAAUGCCGCGUGUGUGAAGAAGGCCUUCGGGUUGUAAAGCACUUUUGUCAGGAAAGAAAUCGCUCUGGAUAAUACCCGGGGUGGAUGACGGUACCUGAAGAAUCAGCACCGGCUAACUACGUGCCAGCAGCCGCGGUAAUACGUAGGGUGCAAGCGUUAAUCGGAAUUACUGGGCGUAAAGCGUGCGCAGGCGGUUGUGCAAGACAGAUGUGAAAUCCCCGGGCUCAACCUGGGAACUGCAUUUGUGACUGCACGGCUAGAGUGUGUCAGAGGGGGGUAGAAUUCCACGUGUAGCAGUGAAAUGCGUAGAUAUGUGGAGGAACACCGAUGGC
This 553-nucleotide ribosomal RNA is filed under the name uncultured beta proteobacterium. Its description in RNAcentral is "bacterial SSU rRNA". It matches the Rfam family "Bacterial small subunit ribosomal RNA", at positions 168 to 716 of the family's 1533-position model. Lineage: Bacteria; Pseudomonadati; Pseudomonadota; Betaproteobacteria. The record is from RNAcentral.